UGUGCAGUUAACUUAAGUCACAGACUAAGGGUGAAACUGAAGGAGUCAUCUUAUGUACUUCCAGCUUCUGGGGCAUCAAUUUUUAAAUGCCUAAAUGCUGAAGGAACCUAGGAAGAGAAAAAGGUAUGUAAGCUUUUGGCUUGCCUGGGCUGCAAUGAGUGAAAAGGAAUUGUUUUGAACUGCAGUAGGUUGCUUCAAAGGUGUGAAUGGCCACUUGCCAGCUGCUGAGAGGAAACAUGUGCUCCUCUUGCUGAUGUGAAGCUUGAGGACUUCAAAAGGAAGAUCACUCCUAACAUGGAGGUAACCAGUGUCUCACAUCUGGCCAUCCACUAUCAUACCUCAGAUAUGGCAGCCCUCCCUGCUUGUUCUGAACAGAGACUUCCAUUUCUGUUAGUAGAAAACUUUCCACAACGUCAGUUGUGUGAUAACAUCAUUAUCUUUCACCAACAAUAAAAGGUUUGAUGAAGCUGUUAUAAUUUAUAAGAAAUCUGCUGGUUAUUCCUCCACAUCUAAUUUAUUAUUAAUAUAUGAGGAAAUGAGUAACUACGUAUCUUGUCAAACCUGACUUUGUAAAAAAUAAAAAUAAAUUACUUAAAACUUAGCAAAGAAUUUUAGACUUUAUUUAAUAUUGUAAAAAAUAAUAAUAAUAAUAACAGAAGGAAGCAAAUCACAUGAUUUAGUUAGGCCCUUCCUGAUGACAUUCUGCUUUACUUUCC
RNAcentral lists this long non-coding RNA (716 nucleotides) under Gallus gallus (chicken). Lineage: Eukaryota; Metazoa; Chordata; Aves; Galliformes; Phasianidae. The record is from RNAcentral.